UCUUUCCUUAUCUUCUGAUUAAACGGAUUGCAAGCAGCCAAUAAGAAGACUUGUGUUUUUUGAUAUUUUUCCAUUUCCUUAUGUGCAUACUUAAAGCUGCGUAUUGUUUAUGCCAAAUGCUGAUGUCAGUAUUCUUGGCGCCUGCUGAUUAGGGUUGCUGGCGGUUUGCAGAGGUCUUCUCAGUUCCCAACGGGAGAGAACGCACCAAAAACAAGGUCUUUGUCAGUGCCUUGCAGGGUCUUGCAGGGUUAUUAUUCUGAGCACAAGAUGGCAUUCGUUCAAUAAUCCACAUGCCUUGACUGUGCUUUCACAUUUUGCGUACCCAUCUAGACGUGGCGAGGGGCUGUGCUUUGAGGGGUUGUCUCUUCCGCUUCUUCUUCGCAGAGUACACAUCUUGCCCUCUUACCUUCUACACCAGGACCGGUUUAACUAGUUUAAUUGAACAAUUAUAGGAGGGAAAAAUAUUUUAUUAAAUUUGGGUAUAAAUGGUAACAGAGAAUGAGUACUGAAUAUCUCUAUAUAACCUAAACUACAUGCAGUCACCAUUGAGUAUCCUCUGUUCAUUUCUGUAAUACAAUGCAUAAUUUAGGGGUGUGGGCUUGUUUCUGGCUUUCUCCCGGAGACAUUCUUAAGAUGUUAUGUAUUAUUGUAUAUGGGUGGAUAAUAGGUGAGGACAUAUGCAGAGUGGAUGGUUGAUUCCAGCUGCAGUUUCUACCAAAAUGUAGCUUUUGCUUGCAGAUACUGACUCAUUCAAGUCGCUCUGUCACUCGGCUCGGCUGCUUACGUAUGUUUUUCCUUGAACUUCACUAACGUUGAUUUUACAGGAAUGAGAUUAUUUAUUAGCAUAGGACAAGGCUAAUCAUGGAAGGAUUGUGCUCAGAUGUUUUGCAUAAUUCGUGCUUGCUUCUGCUUUUGAAAGGAUCCUUCAUGCGAAUCACAAAUAUGGCCCACAAAGAAGCAGUUUGUUAGUUCUGGUUCUUCCCUUGCCAAUCAGUUGGAGGAAUUAUUUGCGAAGAGCCAUAUUUAGAUGUUUGACAAGAAUUCUCUAUUGUCAUUAGCUUCUGAACUAUUAUCAAAUUUUUCUGAGCAAGGAUUCUCACAGCCACGUUCUGAGAUUCGAUCAACAGUUUUUAGUUUGUCAUCACCUCUUGCUGAAAUGUACAAAGAUCCAAAGAGUCAAAAGGCACAGCAGAACCAUAUUCCUAAAGAUCAAAAUGUAUUAGAGAGUUGGGAAACACUUAAAUCACCAAGAAAGACGAUAAAUAUUGAAACUCCAAAGUCUUGUUCACCUGAGAUUGGGAUUGCAGAGUCUGUCGGAAGUCCAAAGAUUUCUGUAAUUUGUUUCUACCCAAUAAAUUUUGGUCAAUUCUUCAUUUCAUAUAUAAUCAAUGCCCAAAGAACUUUGAUUCAGGGAUUU
Cryptomeria japonica (Japanese cedar) is the source of this 1417-nucleotide long non-coding RNA. RefSeq lists it as uncharacterized. The transcript has 4 exons. NCBI's taxonomy places the organism in Eukaryota, Viridiplantae, Streptophyta, Pinopsida, Cupressales, Cupressaceae. The record is from RefSeq and is a predicted model, not a curated record.